Molecule: ribosomal RNA, 470 nt
Filed under: uncultured bacterium
Lineage: Bacteria
Description: bacterial SSU rRNA
Rfam family: Bacterial small subunit ribosomal RNA
Source: RNAcentral
AGUUAACGUUGGCGGCGUGCCUAACACAUGCAAGUCGAACGCGUCCUAAGGGCAACUUUAGGAUGAGUGGCGAACGGGUGAGUAUCACGUGGGUAAUCUUCCUUCAAGUGGGGAAUAAGCUCUCGAAAGGGAGUCUAAUACCGCAUGACAUUCCGGGACACAAGUCCCGUAAUCAAAGCCGCAAGGCGCUUGAAGAUGAGCCUGCGUCCUAUUAGCUAGUUGGUGGGGUAACGGCCUACCAAGGCUUAGAUGGGUAGCCGGCCUGAGAGGGUGAACGGCCACACUGGGACUGAGACACGGCCCAGACUCCUACGGGAGGCAGCAGUGAGGAAUUUGCGCAAUGGGGGAAACCCUGACGCAGCGACGCCGCGUGGAGGAUGAAGGCCUUCGGGUCGUAAACUCCUGUCAGAGGUGAAGAAUACCGCAAGGGUUUGACGGUAACCUCAGAGGAAGCCCCGGCUAACUACGUG